This 475-nucleotide ribosomal RNA is filed under the name unidentified nematode Sourhope farm. RNAcentral describes it as "SSU rRNA". It matches the Rfam family "Eukaryotic small subunit ribosomal RNA", at positions 58 to 529 of the family's 1831-position model. The record is from RNAcentral. Lineage: Eukaryota; Metazoa; Nematoda.
UCUAAGUAUAACCUGCCAGACAGGGAAACUGCGUACGGCUCAUUACACCAGCCUUAAUUUACUUGACCUUGACAACCUACUUGGAUAACUGUGGUAAUUCUAGAGCUAAUACAUGCACCAAAGCUCCGAUCCUCGCGGAGAGGAGCGCAUUUGUUCCCCACUUAACCAAGCGCCCAUCUGGGCGUCCAGUGCUGAACCAGAACAACUCAGCUGAUCGCACGGUCUUGUACCGGCGACGUGUCUUUCAAGUGUCUGCCUUAUCAACUUUCGAUGGUAGUGUACCUGACUACCAUGGUUGUGACGGGUAACGGAGGAUAAGGGUUCGACUCCGGAGAAGGGGCCUGAGAAAUGGCCACUACGUCUAAGGAUGGCAGCAGGCGCGCAAAUUACCCACUCUCAACGCGAGGAGGUAGUGACGAGAAAUAACGAGACCGUUCUCAUACGAGGCCGGUUAUUGGAAUGGGUACAAUUUAAA